RNAcentral lists this ribosomal RNA (478 nucleotides) under Enterobacter sp. RNAcentral's name for it is "bacterial SSU rRNA". It matches the Rfam family "Bacterial small subunit ribosomal RNA", at positions 52 to 523 of the family's 1533-position model. The record is from RNAcentral. Lineage: Bacteria; Pseudomonadati; Pseudomonadota; Gammaproteobacteria; Enterobacterales; Enterobacteriaceae.
CACAUGCAGUCGAGCGGUAACAGGAAGCAGCUUGCUGCUUCGCUGACGAGUGGCGGACGGGUGAGUAAUGUCUGGGAAACUGCCUGAUGGAGGGGGAUAACUACUGGAAACGGUAGCUAAUACCGCAUAACGUCUCAAGACCAAAGAGGGGGACCUUCGGGCCUCUUGCCAUCGGAUGUGCCCAGAUGGGAUUAGCUAGUAGGUGGGGUAACGGCUCACCUAGGCGACGAUCCCUAGCUGGUCUGAGAGGAUGACCAGCCACACUGGAACUGAGACACGGUCCAGACUCCUACGGGAGGCAGCAGUGGGGAAUAUUGCACAAUGGGCGCAAGCCUGAUGCACCCAUGCCGCGUGUAUGAAGAAGGCCUUCGGGUUGUAAAGUACUUUCAGCGGGGAGGAAGGUGUUGAGGUUAAUAACCUUGUCAAUUGACGUUACCCGCAGAAGAAGCACCGGCUAACUACGUGCCGGCAGCCGAAA